UACAGAGGGUGCAAGCGUUGUUCGGAAUUAUUGGGCGUAAAGCGCGCGCAGGCGGUCCUUUAAGUCUGAUGUGAAAGCCCACGGCUCAACCGUGGAGGGUCAUUGGAAACUGGAGGACUUGAGUACAGAAGAGGAAAGCGGAAUUCCACGUGUAGCGGUGAAAUGCGUAGAGAUGUGGAGGAACACCAGUGGCGAAGGCGGCUUUCUGGUCUGUAAACUGACGCUGGAGGCGACGAAAGCGUGGGGAGCAAACAGG
RNAcentral lists this ribosomal RNA (256 nucleotides) under uncultured bacterium. RNAcentral describes it as "partial 16S ribosomal RNA". It matches the Rfam family "Bacterial small subunit ribosomal RNA", at positions 524 to 776 of the family's 1533-position model. The record is from RNAcentral.